Molecule: long non-coding RNA, 1919 nt
Organism: Numida meleagris (helmeted guineafowl)
Lineage: Eukaryota; Metazoa; Chordata; Aves; Galliformes; Numididae
Exons: 3
Source: RefSeq, a predicted model, not a curated record
AGCACCACAAGACAGGGAAGGUGUUUGGUCCAUGAGAGAAAUUCUAAUACUGCUGUUGCCCUUUCUCAUUUUAACAGGAUGAAAACAAAACAAAGCGCUCUGGCACAAACAAGUCCAGUUACAGUUGUCACCUUGCUGCAAAUCUAGGCACAGCUACCAACACAUUUCGUUAAAUAGACAGGAGGCAAACAGAGGGUAAAGCGACAAAUAUAACAGCUUUAAAGAAGCAAGGAGGUACGGAUGAGGAUACGAAUCCUUAUGCACUCCAGCAGAAUACAGCUUCAACCACAGCUGGUGCCAAGCUUUUUCACUACAAUGGUUUCUCUUACAAACAAAAUUUAGGUUCAGCCUGGACCCUAAGCUCUUCAAUACAUGCUUCUUCAGACAUCAAUGUACAAACAGAAAGCAAAACCAACUCAGAUUUCCAAGAAUAAGAUCAUGAAGAAAGGAAAAUUAUAAGCAUAUACUAUAAAGCUAGGGAAACAAUUUUCAUCUAUUUUUAAGGAGUCAAUAUCCUUUGAAGCUGACAUUUAUUUUGAGAGACUGUGAUCUCUCUCCUACUUUCCUCAUUUACUUCCUGCACAUGCUCACUCGGAUGCUCAAAAUGCUCACUGUAAGAAAUUGCAAUGCGCUUUCUACACUGAGCAUGUUUCAGUCUCUAGCUGCUGAUGAAAUUCAUCUGUAAUUCUUCAUUUGGCACAUAGGAAAAAAAGGCUGAACAUGAGAUCAGGUAUCAAAAUCUUUUUAAAUAUUUAUCUCAUGUACUUCUUACCACCAUAUGCGCUGUCACACUCCAAAAUCUUACCUCUAGGCACAGACUAGUCCUUAACUAAGAAUUUAGUGACAGAGAUAGCCUACGGUCAUUUAGUACAGCAUAAAAUAGAGAACCGGGGAUGACAAAUGAAAAACAUGCCCAUACCCGCUCUUAAGCAUGUUACAUGUUUGCCUUGUGCUGUCUCAUUUGCUCAUUUUUCAAGACUACAUUUUUAGAAUGAAAACAUCAAUUUUGAGGUAUAUGGAAGUCCUUACUGCUAGUCCUGUGCUUCUACAAAUUAAUACACCCAUAAUCGAACAUAAUACAUAUGCUAAUACUGGUGAAGGAAAAUGAAAAUCUGCACAGAAGUGGGCUGUUUCAGUUUCUGAUGAAAUCCAGGUGAUAGGGCAAAGAAAAAUGAAGCUGAUAUAAUUUUUAAACUUCUGAACUUAUGAAGGAGGAGCGUGGAGGAGAGCAGGAACUGAGUUACUGCUGAACAGUCAGAGCCAAGUCACCUGAACAGAAGGCAGCAAAGUGGCACCAAGAGGCACCGGUUCUCUUCUCAGUCUCUCCAUGGACACAUGUGUGCGAGUGACCAUCAGCUGUUACAAGCAGCAGUUAAUCUCUGAACGUGAAAACAAAUAUAAUACCCAUAUUUGCAAAAUAUCUUCCAAAAAUUGAUUCUCAGAUGUGAAAAAGACACAGGCAUUCAUGUCUGUACUUUCAGCCAGACCAGGCAAGAACAAGCAGUGUUUCACUAUACAGCCUGUAUGAUUUGUUGCAAAGCCACAGGAAUCGACAGCUUUGUCAUCAAUCCUUUGCUCUGGGAAUCAGCUCUUCUCCAGUGUUCACAAGGCAGCUGACCUCUAUUUUCCCAGUGGUACCAGGUUCUGCUAGCUCCUGAUCUGCUUUCCCUCAGGCAUCCGUGUACCUUCUUCCUCACUUACCACCAGGAACACCCUCCCUACAAAAAAAACUAGCAGCCCUUAGCCUUUUUCAUGUCCUCCCUCACCACUAAGUCCUACUCUGAAGCUACUACAGUCACCUAAUGACAGUCAGGCAGGUGGCAGAAGCACAGGACGCUGCUGGUUCAUUGACCGCACUGCUCUCCCUCAUGGGAGGAAAUACUUAUUUCACUUUUCUUGCUUUGUUUUUGCCUACGAAC